AGAGUUUGAUCCUGGCUCAGAACGAACGCUGGCGGCGUGCCUAACACAUGCAAGUCGAGCGCGAAUGGAGCAAUCCUAGUAGAGCGGCGCACGGGUGAGUAACACGUGGGUAAUCUGCCUGGAAGUCCGGGACAACCUGCCGAAAGGCUGGCUAAUACCGGAUAAGCCCACAGGGUCUUCGGACCCCGAGGGAAAAGAUGGCCUCUGCAUGCAAGCUAUCACUUCCAGAUGAGCCCGCGACCCAUCAGCUAGUUGGCGGGGUAAUGGCCCACCAAGGCAACGACGGGUAGCUGGUCUGAGAGGACGAUCAGCCACACUGGAACUGAGACACGGUCCAGACUCCUACGGGAGGCAGCAGUGGGGAAUUUUGCGCAAUGGGCGAAAGCCUGACGCAGCAACGCCGCGUGUGUGAUGAAGGUCUUCGGAUCGUAAAGCACUUUCGACUGGGACGAAAACCCGCUGGCUAACAUCCAGCGGUUUGACGGUACCGGGAGAAGAAG
Molecule: ribosomal RNA, 500 nt
Filed under: uncultured bacterium
Lineage: Bacteria
Description: bacterial SSU rRNA
Rfam family: Bacterial small subunit ribosomal RNA
Source: RNAcentral